AGGGAAUCUUCCGCAAUGGACGAAAGUCUGACGGAGCAACGCCGCGUGAGUGAAGAAGGCCUUCGGGUCGUAAAACUCUGUUGCCGGGGAAGAACAAGUGCCGUUCGAACAGGGCGGCGCCUUGACGGUACCCGGCCAGAAAGCCACGGCUAACUACGUGCCAGCAGCCGCGGUAAUACGUAGGUGGCAAGCGUUGUCCGGAAUUAUUGGGCGUAAAGCGCGCGCAGGCGGCUUCUUAAGUCUGAUGUGAAAUCUUGCGGCUCAACCGCAAGCGGUCAUUGGAAACUGGGAGGCUUGAGUGCAGAAGAGGAGAGUGGAAUUCCACGUGUAGCGGUGAAAUGCGUAGAGAUGUGGAGGAACACCAGUGGCGAAGGCGGCUCUCUGGUCUGUAACUGACGCUGAGGCGCGAAAGCGUGGGGAGCAAACA
RNAcentral lists this ribosomal RNA (427 nucleotides) under uncultured Bacillus sp. RNAcentral describes it as "bacterial SSU rRNA". It matches the Rfam family "Bacterial small subunit ribosomal RNA", at positions 356 to 774 of the family's 1533-position model. The record is from RNAcentral. Lineage: Bacteria; Bacillati; Bacillota; Bacilli; Caryophanales; Bacillaceae.